RNAcentral lists this ribosomal RNA (305 nucleotides) under uncultured bacterium. Its description in RNAcentral is "bacterial SSU rRNA". It matches the Rfam family "Bacterial small subunit ribosomal RNA", at positions 335 to 657 of the family's 1533-position model. The record is from RNAcentral.
GCUCCUACGGGAGGCAGCAGUGGGGAAUAUUGCACAAUGGGGGAAACCCUGAUGCAGCGACGCCGCGUGAAGGAAGAAGUAUUUCGGUAUGUAAACUUCUAUCAGCAGGGAAGAAAAUGACGGUACCUGACUAAGAAGCCCCGGCUAACUACGUGCCAGCAGCCGCGGUAAUACGUAGGGGGCAAGCGUUAUCCGGAUUUACUGGGUGUAAAGGGAGCGUAGGCGGCGAUGCAAGUCAGAAGUGAAAGCCCGGGGCUCAACCCCGGUACUGCAUUUGAAACUGUCCAGCUGGAGUGCAGGAGAGG